This 253-nucleotide ribosomal RNA is filed under the name uncultured bacterium. RNAcentral describes it as "partial 16S ribosomal RNA". It matches the Rfam family "Archaeal small subunit ribosomal RNA", at positions 474 to 727 of the family's 1478-position model. The record is from RNAcentral.
UACCAGCACCCCGAGUGGUCGGGACGUUUAUUGGGCCUAAAGCGUCCGUAGCCGGUUCUACAAGUCUUCCGUUAAAUCCACCUGCUUAACAGAUGGGCUGCGGAAGAUACUAUAGAGCUAGGAGGCGGGAGAGGCAAGCGGUACUCGAUGGGUAGGGGUAAAAUCCGUUGAUCCAUUGAAGACUACUAGUGGCGAAGGCGGCUUGCCAGAACGCGCUCGACGGUGAGGGAUGAAAGCUGGGGGAGCAAACCGG